This 2372-nucleotide long non-coding RNA is filed under the name Triticum aestivum (bread wheat). RNAcentral's name for it is "long non-coding RNA (TAES_LNC017111)". Lineage: Eukaryota; Viridiplantae; Streptophyta; Magnoliopsida; Poales; Poaceae. The record is from RNAcentral.
UUCUGGUGAGAGUUUGAUGGCAGGGAAAAUUAUUAUUAUUGUUGUUGUUCAAGGUAACUGCGAUGCACAUGAUGCAAGAAUUAUAUUUGUGCAGAGGUAGCUACAACUAUUCAAAUCAGUUUGAUGCCCUCUGUUACUAUCUUAUUUUUUGUUGAACUAACCAAUACCAGAACACAACUCUAUCCUACAUGAACUCAUGUGUUCUUAUGCAGCCAUUUUCUGUUGUAGGAGGAGCAAUACUCAGAGUGCGAGAGUUAAGAGAGAAUCUGUUGAAACUAAGGUCACAACAGAUCAGGUACUUCAUUUUUGUUUCAACCCAUACUGCUCUCUAAUGUCCAAUCUGCAAACUGCAGGGCCUCCAAACUAAAAAUAAAAUUGAAUUUUCUUGGCAGAUUCAGUUGUCUAGAAACUAAUUUGUGGUGUAGUUUGAAAAAAGGCAAAAGACUCGGAUAUAGUCAUAGAACUACAACAUAAAGUUUGAGGAGUGUCCCCAAUCCCAUCAUCUUUCUCUCAGUUUUUACUACAUGAUUCUCUGUGAUGAUUUUAUUCUAAUUUCUCAAUUAUGUUUUUUCUAAACACAACGCCUGCAGAUCUGAUAAAGAAGAGGAAGAAUUUUGAGGAAGAACUUUGUGAAAAUACAGUCACUUUCUUGCAUUUUGACGUGUUUUGCCAAUUUCUAUAUAUUGCUUAUAUGGUUGCACCCAAGGCUUGGUUCGUGGUUGCUGAUGCAUUUUCUGUAGGAAAGCGAUGUUUUUGUUCAUAGUAUGAACAGAAGUUGAACAGUCGAAAACCUAUGUGAAAGCAGCGGCGAAAAGUAUGCUUGAGGAAGAGGUAUGGAACCAGCGUGCCCUUUGGUCAAAGAAUUUUUGUAAGAUUCCAAUCCAUACGGAAUUCUCGAAACCAUUUAGUUCAAUGGGAUGAAUUCCCCAAAAUUGUGUGGAUUGUUUUCCUACACUCUGUGCUUCUUUGGUUCAAAGGAAUUCUAAAGCAAUUUGUAGGAUUCCAACCUAUAGACGUUUUUUCUAGAGUACUUUUGAUUCAGAGGAGUAACCACUCCUAAAUUCCUCUUGACUGUUCGCCAACACCACGAUUCAAUAGAAUUUCUAGCAUGUUUUGGUGUCAUAACUCGCUAGAAAGUUUAUGUGUUUUUCCUGGUUCAUGUACGAUUCCAAAUGUCAGGAUAUAUAUUGCUCUAUUUUUCAUGUUCCUAUGUCUUCUUCAGAUCCUGCGAAGUGAAGAAGGUUCUGCAACUCCAUUAGAUUGAUUGAAUAAUUCCCUUAUAUCUUGAGAAGCAUGACAUGCACUUAACAUCUAUAUAAAGUUUCUUAUGGCCACAUGAUGCCUGGAUACUUACCUAAAAUGCAUCAUUAGUCCAUCAACCCAUUUAUUGAUCCAGUAUGAUUGCUUAGAUCCAGCCGGGUCUACCUUACUGCUAGCUUAAUACUAUCUAGAGCAUAUUCUUUUUCCCUUUGUUUAGUUGAAUAGCAUAAUACUAUGGUUAUUAAGAAACUUGAACAUGCGACAUUGUAGAUCUCUAUCUUCCAUGUUCCCACCCUGAUGUUCUUUAGAUAUUCUUCCAUUUACAGCAAUCUAAUUCUUGGGUGAUAAUUUUGACAAUCAUUAAACCUUUCAGGUCUGCCUAUCUGUUGAUGGUGAUAGAAAAGGUAAUGAUGCAGCAAAAAUGCAUUACGAUUCUAAAGCUGUCAGGGCUCAGGAGAUGAGUGUCUGAUGGUACUAUUGAUGUAUGUCAGGCAGUUGUAUCAGUAUGGAUCUUCCAACAAAUUCACUAAGUGCCCUUUGCAUUUAAUUUCUGUAUACCGUUUUGCAGCAACAUUCAGAUUUGGCAGUUGGAUAAAGAAGCUUUGUUCACGACAUAAAUGCUGACAAGAAAACUACAGAACGAGUAAAGAUUUGCGACUUGGAAGCAAUGGGCUCAAAUGGUUUGUCUUAAGAGAACAAUACUAUCUUUUUCUUAUUUAUUGUACGUCAGAGUAUGUUACCUAUAUACAUAUAUUUAGGUCAUCUAUAUCUCUUAAGAGAACAAUAGUAUCUUUGUCUUAUAUAUUGUGUUGACAAGUGUAAUUAUUACCAAAGUUUUAAAUAGCGCGCUAAGCAUCUUAGCGUCGGACCUCUUUCAAAUGCUAUAGCGUGCUAUAGCGGAGCUAUAGCGCGCUAUUUAAAAUGUUUGUUCAUUUGUUUGGACCAAAGUCUCUUAGCGCAAGACCUUUUGUAAACGCUAUAGCGUGCUAUAGCGGAGCUAUAGCGGGCUAUUUGAAACAGUGAUUAUUACCAUUGGUAGUGAAGGACUCUUGCAGCAGCAGAAUAUUAGCACAAAGAAAAAUCUAUAUGGUUUUAUGGGUUUGUUUUCAUCG